UACGUCGGGGGCGAGCGUUGUCCGGAUUCAUUGGGCGUAAAGAGCUCGUAGGCGGUUUGGCAAGUCGGAUGUGAAAUCUCUGGGCUCAACUCAGAGAGGCCAUUCGAGACUGCUAUGACUAGAGUCCGGUAGGGGACCAUGGAAUUCCUGGUGUAGCGGUGAAAUGCGCAGAUAUCAGGAAGAACACCCGUGGCGAAGGCGGCUCUCUGGGACGGUACUGACGCUGAGACGCGAAAGCAUGGGGAGCGAACAGG
RNAcentral lists this ribosomal RNA (254 nucleotides) under uncultured bacterium. RNAcentral describes it as "partial 16S ribosomal RNA". It matches the Rfam family "Bacterial small subunit ribosomal RNA", at positions 524 to 776 of the family's 1533-position model. The record is from RNAcentral.